AGUGAACGCUGGCGGUAGGCCUAACACAUGCAAGUCGAACGGCAGCACAGUAAGAGCUUGCUCUUACGGGUGGCGAGUGGCGGACGGGUGAGGAAUACAUCGGAAUCUACUUUUUCGUGGGGGAUAACGUAGGGAAACUUACGCUAAUACCGCAUACGACCUACGGGUGAAAGCAGGGGAUCUUCGCACCUUGCGCGAUUGAAUGAGCCGAUGUCGGAUUAGCUAGUUGGCGGGGUAAAGGCCCACCAAGGCGACGCUCCGUAGCUGGUCUGAGAGGAUGAUCAGCCACACUGGAACUGAGACACGGUCCAGACUCCUACGGGAGGCAGCAGGGGGGAAUAUUGGACAAUGGGCGCAAGCCUGAUCCAGCCAUACCGCGUGGGUGAAGAAGGCCUUCGGGUUGUAAAGCCCUUUUGUUGGGAAAGAAAAGCAGCAGGUUAAUACCCCGCUGUUCUGACGGUACCCAAAGAAUAAGCACCGGCUAACUUCGU
This 491-nucleotide ribosomal RNA is filed under the name uncultured bacterium. RNAcentral describes it as "partial 16S ribosomal RNA". It matches the Rfam family "Bacterial small subunit ribosomal RNA", at positions 29 to 506 of the family's 1533-position model. The record is from RNAcentral.